RNAcentral lists this ribosomal RNA (366 nucleotides) under Tetraspinus bambusae. Its description in RNAcentral is "partial small subunit ribosomal RNA". The record is from RNAcentral. Lineage: Eukaryota; Metazoa; Arthropoda; Arachnida; Trombidiformes; Eriophyidae.
CUUGAACCAAGAGUGACGGGCGAUUUGUGCAUAUUAAAAGUUAAGUUUUCUAUAUUAAUUUUUUUUUUAAUUUUUAAUUUUAAGUUCUUUUUAUUUUGUAUCCUUUUAUAUAAUUUUAAUUUUAUUUUUUUGAAUUUCAUAUCUAUCAAAUUUAUUUCCUCUGUCUUGAUUUGUUUUUGUUAAUAAUUUUAUUUUUACUAAAAUUUUUUUAUUUUAAUUUUAACAAACAAUGAUAUAGAAAGUUAUAAAAUUAGCUUUUUUUUAUCGUGGGUUAUCUAUUAUUGUACAAAAUUCCCUAAGCAUAUUAAUACCGCCAUUUCAAUUAGAUUUUAAUUAAUUAUUUACUAUCUAUUUUUUAAUAUAAAA